Molecule: ribosomal RNA, 382 nt
Filed under: uncultured eukaryote
Lineage: Eukaryota
Description: partial 18S ribosomal RNA
Rfam family: Eukaryotic small subunit ribosomal RNA
Source: RNAcentral
CAAUAGCGUAUAUUAAAGUUGUUGCGGUAAAAAAGCUCGUAGUUGGAUUUCUACCGAAGAUAGCCGGUCGGGUCUUCGACCUUGUAUCUGGUUUUGUCUUUGGUAUCCUCAUAGGGAACGUUUCUGCGCUUUAUUGCGUGGUGCGGUAUCUAUGACUUUUACUUUGAGGAAAUUAGAGUGUUCACGGCAGGCAAACGCCUUGAAUAUAUUAGCAUGGAAUAAUAACAUAGGAUCUUCGUCCUAUUUUGUUGGUUUCUAGGGCUAAGAUAAUGAUUAAUAGGGAUAAUUGGGGGCAUCUGUAUCAACGCGUCAGAGGUGGAAUUCUUGGAUUGCGUUGCGACAAACUACUGCGAAAGCAUUUGCCAAGGAUGUUUUCAUUGAC